This 460-nucleotide ribosomal RNA is filed under the name uncultured bacterium. RNAcentral describes it as "partial 16S ribosomal RNA". It matches the Rfam family "Bacterial small subunit ribosomal RNA", at positions 338 to 795 of the family's 1533-position model. The record is from RNAcentral.
CCUACGGGUGACUGCAGUGAGGAAUAUUGGUCAAUGGGCGCUAGCCUGAACCAGCCAAGUAGCGUGAAGGAUGACUGCCCUACGGGUUGUAAACUUCUUUUAUAUAGGAAUAAAGUGAAGCAUGUAUGCCUUUUUGUAUGUACCUUAUGAAUAAGGAUCGGCUAACUCCGUGCCAGCAGCCGCGGUAAUACGGAGGAUCCGAGCGUUAUCCGGAUUUAUUGGGUUUAAAGGGAGCGUAGAUGGGUUGUUAAGUCAGUUGUGAAAGUUUGCGGCUCAACCGUAAAAUUGCAAUUGAUACUGGCAGCCUUGAGUACAGUAGAGGUAGGCGGAAUUCGUGGUGGAGCGGUGAAAUGCUUAGAUAUCACGAAGAACUCCGAUUGCGAAGGCAGCUUACUAAACUGUGACUGACAUUGAUGCUCGAAAGUGUGGGUAUCAAACAGGAUUAGAUACCCGGGUAGUC